CCCUGAUCUGAGCUAAUCCCACAGGCUAAUCUUGCCACUAGCUUGAGAGCCACAGGAAUCAUUCUACUCUCCCUCAUUGUGAGGAAUGGUCCCAAUGUUCUAACCCAGCUGCAGUCCCAAGACGGGAUACAUGUGAUAGGACCAUGUGCACCACUACGAUGGUCCUCACCACUAUUGCUGUCAUCCUAUACAGAAAGUUCUCAAACCGAGUCGAACCGCACAAUGUUGAUGAUACCAAUGAGGAGCCCUACAUGAAGAGCAAUGGAGUGGACCCUAAGAAAUAACAACCCUCACAGCAGGUGUAGCUCUAGUCUACAGUCUACAUGACACGAACUGAAGACAGGUCUUCACCUUGAUGGCUACACAUCUGUCUAGUUUGACAGGCAAACAUCCUAUAACCUAAACCCCAAAAGGGGUAUGUUACAGACAACAGCAGCAGCUCCAUCUCAGUCAUCUGGAAUUGAUGCAGCUGGCGCCAUUGUCUCUCCAGUGUUCAGAGACUGUGCAUUGCUAUGUGAAAAGCAUCUGGAAUUAAUAACAGGCCAGGGCAGGCCAGCACAACAAGAAUAUUUUUUUUAUUAUCACAUCUUCAAUCCCCCCAUCUGUCCUGCAGAUCCCUCUAAUGUUAUUUCAGCAGAGGAUUGUCCCAGGAGGCCUCCCUCCUCCUUCUUGAGGCAGGAGAAUUCCAUUUCUGGGAAUGAAACCUCAACCAAUCACAUCUUGAUGGAGCUGAAUCUACAGAACAACAUCUUGGGGGUUUCUUGUUUUGUAGAGUUGGAUGUUUUCUUACGGCUUAAAGUAGGCAAAUGAUCAAUGUAAAACUGUUGGAAUGUGUUCCGUGCCUCAAAAAACAGUAGUUUUCUUUGAUUGUCAAAAAGGGCUAUACAGAUUUGUGUCCAUUGAGUAAAUUAUAAUGGCUUUUAAAGAAGAGGCAGAACUUUAAAAUUAUGCACUUUAAAUGGUAGGAUGUUUUUGGUAAUCUUUCACAUUCCUAAAGUGACUUAAAUAUUGUUUUUGACAAACAAGGAGCUACGGAUAAGCAAUAUGUUUAAAAUGAAUCGCUUGAACCCAUAAAUAUUUGACCAAAUGUCAGAGAACAUAAAUGUCUUGUCGUGAAGAUGUGUGCACCAUGGCUACUCAAUCUGAAGAGCAAUGGAAAGAGGCAUUUGUGUUGUACCUCUCUGUCAACCCUCUCCAGUCACAAUGCAUUGCUAUGUGAUGAAAGAAAACCUGAAAGUGAAUCACCUCUUCCCCUACACCUUUAGCAUCCCGUUGGUCCCAUUGAAGGAGCAACAGUCAGAAAGAGGUGUGUUACUAGUCUGCCUAUGUUCAAAACACAGCUCCAACUUUACUUGACAUUUUUAAAAGCAGCUAGGGGUCACCUUAGUAAACGUCUGCCUUGAGUCAGAGCUUGGUGAUGAUGGUGGUUACUGGUAGGACGGUUUGUUACAGAAUCGACUUUCCUUUGACAUGUCGUCUUACAACCUGCUUCUUCUCUCUAAAGCAAACAUUAUGUCUGUUCUUCGCUCUCCCCACCUGAUCAAAUAAAGAGAUUGGGAAAAAUGUAUUUAGUUUGUACAUAUUUUUAUGGCCUUGGUUUGAAUUUUCCCUUGUUGUAGGAUACCUACUCCCAAAUGUUGCAUUGUAUGUACUGCAUGAUGACCAUUACUGUAUUACCACUUAAAAGAGACCCUUCAACAUG
Oncorhynchus nerka (sockeye salmon) is the source of this 1702-nucleotide long non-coding RNA. RefSeq lists it as uncharacterized. The transcript is spliced from 4 exons. The record is from RefSeq and is a predicted model, not a curated record. NCBI's taxonomy places the organism in Eukaryota, Metazoa, Chordata, Actinopteri, Salmoniformes, Salmonidae.